UUUCUGUCUAGACGCUGUGAGA
Molecule: unclassified non-coding RNA, 22 nt
Filed under: Chlamydomonas reinhardtii
Lineage: Eukaryota; Viridiplantae; Chlorophyta; Chlorophyceae; Chlamydomonadales; Chlamydomonadaceae
Description: small RNA Cre_4125
Source: RNAcentral